UGUUGAAAAACCGGUUCCCGUACGAUCACCGAAGUUAAGCAACGUCGGGCCUGCUACAUCGAUGGGUGACUGCUUGGGAAUACCAAGUGCUGUAAG
Molecule: non-coding RNA, 96 nt
Organism: Acanthosepion pharaonis
Lineage: Eukaryota; Metazoa; Mollusca; Cephalopoda; Sepiida; Sepiidae
Source: the annotation of a GenBank genome assembly